UACGGAGGGAGCUAGCGUUGUUCGGAUUUACUGGGCGUAAAGCGCACGUAGGCGGAUCGUUAAGUCGGGGGUGAAAUCCUGGAGCUCAACUCCAGAACUGCCUUCGAUACUGGCGAUCUCGAGUCCGGAAGAGGUGAGUGGAACUCCUAGUGUAGAGGUGGAAUUCGUAGAUAUUAGGAAGAACACCAGUGGCGAAGGCGGCUCACUGGUCCGGUACUGACGCUGAGGUGCGAAAGCGUGGGGAGCAAACAGG
RNAcentral lists this ribosomal RNA (253 nucleotides) under uncultured bacterium. RNAcentral's name for it is "partial 16S ribosomal RNA". It matches the Rfam family "Bacterial small subunit ribosomal RNA", at positions 524 to 776 of the family's 1533-position model. The record is from RNAcentral.